CACGUAGGUGGUUUGGUAAGUCGGAUGUGAAAGCCCCGGGCUUAACCUGGGAAUUGCAUUCGAAACUGCCUCACUAGAGUCUAGCAGAGGGAUGCGGAAUUCCGGGUGUAGCGGUGAAAUGCGUAGAGAUCCGGAGGAACAUCAGUGGCGAAGGCGGCAUCCUGGGCUAAGACUGACACUGAGGUGCGAAAGCGUGGGAAGCAAACA
RNAcentral lists this ribosomal RNA (207 nucleotides) under uncultured bacterium. RNAcentral's name for it is "partial 16S ribosomal RNA". It matches the Rfam family "Bacterial small subunit ribosomal RNA", at positions 568 to 774 of the family's 1533-position model. The record is from RNAcentral.